RNAcentral lists this ribosomal RNA (742 nucleotides) under uncultured bacterium. RNAcentral's name for it is "bacterial SSU rRNA". It matches the Rfam family "Bacterial small subunit ribosomal RNA", at positions 8 to 796 of the family's 1533-position model. The record is from RNAcentral.
AGAGUUUGAUCCUGGCUCAGAGCGAACGCUGGCGGCAGGCCUAACACAUGCAAGUCGAACGGACCCUUCGGGGUUAGUGGCGGACGGGUGAGUAACACGUGGGAACGUGCCUUUUGGUUCGGAAUAGCUCCUGGAAACGGGUGGUAAUGCCGAAUGUGCCCUUCGGGGGAAAGAUUUAUCGCCAUUAGAGCGGCCCGCGUCUGAUUAGCUAGUUGGUGAGGUAAAGGCUCACCAAGGCUACGAUCAGUAGCUGGUCUGAGAGGAUGACCAGCCACAUUGGGACUGAGACACGGCCCAAACUCCUACGGGAGGCAGCAGUGGGGAAUCUUGCGCAAUGGGCGAAAGCCUGACGCAGCCAUGCCGCGUGAAUGAUGAAGGUCUUAGGAUUGUAAAAUUCUUUCACCGGGGACGAUAAUGACGGUACCCGGAGAAGAAGCCCCGGCUAACUUCGUGCCAGCAGCCGCGGUAAUACGAAGGGGGCUAGCGUUGCUCGGAAUUACUGGGCGUAAAGGGAGCGUAGGCGGACAUUUAAGUCAGGGGUGAAAUCCCAGAGCUCAACUCUGGAACUGCCUUUGAUACUGGAUGUCUUGAGUGUGAGAGAGGUAUGUGGAACUCCGAGUGUAGAGGUGAAAUUCGUAGAUAUUCGGAAGAACACCAGUGGCGAAGGCGACAUACUGGCUCAUUACUGACGCUGAGGCUCGAAAGCGUGGGGAGCAAACAGGAUUAGAUACCCUGGUAGUCG